UGUGAUUGAAAAAUGUUAAUCUCUCAUUCUCAUUAACAUAUAUUGCCGUUUUCAUUUUUAAUUUAGAUUACAUAAAGCUUUUAUUUUUAUAUCUUUUAUUGUUUUUUAGUUUAGACAGGGAGACAAAGUGAUUAGAAAUUGUGACGCACAAAAAGUCGUUUAUGAGGAAGAAGAGUCAUAUGAUGGAGCAUUGCAAAAGACAUUGAUAAUGAGGCGUUUGAAUUUAGUGUAUUAAGAAAUAGUGCACUAUUUCUUUAAUUUUUUUUUUCAAAUACAAGAAUGACAAAGAAACUUAAGAUUGUAUAUAUUAUAUUGGAAAUUUUAGUGCUGCGUGUCGUGAAUGCCCCUUUUUCUUCAUGAUUUGUAAUUAUUAAUUUAUUGUAUAUCACAUGUACAUGAAUAAUACAAGUAUAUUAAUACAUGUGCAUGAAUUUAGAUUAUUUUUUCACGAGUUUUUAUCGACA
RNAcentral lists this long non-coding RNA (464 nucleotides) under Medicago truncatula (barrel medic). RNAcentral describes it as "long non-coding RNA (MTRU_LNC004296)". The record is from RNAcentral. Lineage: Eukaryota; Viridiplantae; Streptophyta; Magnoliopsida; Fabales; Fabaceae.